RNAcentral lists this ribosomal RNA (301 nucleotides) under uncultured bacterium. RNAcentral's name for it is "partial 16S ribosomal RNA". It matches the Rfam family "Bacterial small subunit ribosomal RNA", at positions 509 to 807 of the family's 1533-position model. The record is from RNAcentral.
CAGUAGCCGCGGGAAAACGAGGGGUGCAAGCGUUAUUCGGAUUGAUUGGGUGUAAAGGGUGUGCAGACGGCUUAUUAAGUCACUUGUUAAAUUCUUCGGCCUAACCGAAAGUCUGCAAGUGAUACUGAUGAGCUAGAGGGUGGAAGAGAGAAGUGGAAUUCUCGGAGUAGCGGUAAAAUGCGUAGAUCUCGAGAGGAACACCGGUGGCGAAGGCAGCUUCUUGGUCCAUUCCUGACGUUCAUACACGAAAGCGUGGGGAGCAAACAGGAUUAGAUACCCGAGUAGUCCCUGUCUCUUAUAC